NNNNNNNNNNACUGCAGCAUCGCGGCAUCACGGCACAGCGCAGCAGCGUAGCGUCGCGGUGCAGCAUCGCGGCGCAGCAUCGCGGCGCAGCAUCGCCGUGCAUCGCAGCAGUGCAUCACUACAGCGCAGCAUUGCAGCGCACUGCAGCAGUGCAGCAUCACGGCACAGUGCAGCAACGUAGCAUCACCGUGCAGCAUCACGGUGCAGCAUUGCAACACACCGCAACGGCGCAGCAUCGUGAUGCGGCAUCGCGACGUGCAGCAGUGGUGCAGCAUCACGGUGCAGCAUCGCGGCGCAGCAUUGCAGCGCAGCAUCACGACACACCGCAACGGUGCAGCAUUGCGAUGCAGCAUCGCAGCGCAUUGCAACGGUGCAGCAUCACAAUGCAGCAUCAUGGCGCAGCAUCGCAGCACACCGCAACGGUGCAGCAUCGCAGCGCAGCAUCAUGGUGCACCGCAACGGUGCAGCAUCAUGGCAUGGCAUCGCGACACACCGCAACGGUGCAGCAUCGCGGCACAGCAUCACAGUGCACUGCAACAGCGCAGCAUGAUGAUGCAGCAUCGCGACACACCGCAACGGCGCAGCAUCACGACGCGGCAUCGCGGCACACCGCAACGGUGCAGCAUCACAGCGCAGCAUCACGGUGCACCGCAACGGUGCAGCACCACGAUGCAGCAUGACAACACACCGCAACAGUGCAGCAUCACGGCGCAGCAUCACGACACACUGCAACGGUGCAGCAUCAUGAUGCAGCAUUGCGACACACCGCAACGGUGCAGCAUCACGACGCGGCAUCACGACACACCGCAACGGUGCAGCAUCACGAUGCAGCAUCACGACACACCGCAAUGGUGCAGCAUCGUGAUGCAGCAUCACGACACACCGCAGCGGUGCAGCAUCACGGCGCAGCAUCACGGCGCAGCAUCGUGGUGCAGCAUCGCGGCACACUGCAAUGGCGCAGCAUCGCAGUGCAGCAUCGUGGCACACUGCAAUGGUGCAGCAUCGCGGCACGGCAUCGCAACGCACCGCAACGGCGCAGCAUCAUGAUGCAGCAUUGCAGCGCACUGCAAUGGUGCAGCAUCACAGCGCAGCAUCACGGCACACUGCAACGGUGCCGCACCGCGAUGCAGCAUGACGACACACCGCAACGGUGCAGCAUCGCAGCGCAGCAUCACGGUGCACUGCAACGGUGCAGCAUCACAGCGCGGCAUCGCGGCACACUGCAACAGUGCAGCAUCGCAGUGCAGCAUUGCUGCACAGCAUCGCGACACACUGCAAUGGUGCAGCAUCACGGUGCAGCAUCACGGCACACCGCAACGGUGCAGCAUCAUGAUGCAGCAUCACGACACACCGCAACGGUGCAGCAUUGCGGCACGGCAUCGCGGCACACUGCAACGGUGCAGCAUCGUGGCGCGGCAUCGCGACACCGCAACGGUGCAGCAUCACGAUGCGGCAUCGCGACACACCGCAACGGUGCAGCAUCGCAGCACAGCAUCACAGUGCACUGCAACAGUGCAGCAUCACGACGCAGCAUCGCGACACACCGCAACGGCGCAGCAUCACGACGCGGCAUCGCGGCACACCGCAACGGUGCAGCACCGCGGCGCGGGGACGCGUCCUCACCCUGCAGCCCCUCCUUGGCCUGCAGCCGGCCCCGGCUCUCGGCCUGCAGCUGCUCCAGCGCCGCCUUCNUUGCAAUGGGCUGCAGCACUGCAGCAUCGCGGCAUCACGGCACAGCGCAGCAGCGUAGCGUCGCGGCGCAGCAUCGCGGCGCAGCAUCGCCGUGCAUCGCAGCAGUGCAUCACUACAGCGCAGCAUUGCAGCGCACUGCAGCAGCGCAGCAUCACGGCACAGUGCAGCAACGUAGCAUCACCGUGCAGCAUCACGGUGCAGCAUUGCAACACACCGCAACGGUGCAGCGUCGUGGUGCAGCAUCGUGGUGCACCGCAACGGUGCAGCAUUAUGGUGUAGCAUUGCAGCGCAGCAUCACGGCACACUGCAACGGUGCAGCAUCGCGAUGCAGCAUUGCAACACACCGCAACGGCGCAGCAUCGCGAUGCAGCAUCGCGACACACUGCAAUGGUGCAGCAUCACAGCGCAGCAUCGCAACGCAGCAUCACGGCACACCGCAACGGCGCAGCAUCGCGAUGCAGCAUCGCGACACACUGCAAUGGUGCAGCAGCGCAGCGCAGCAUCGCAACACAGCAUCACGGCAUACUGCAACGGUGCAGCAUCGCGAUGCAGCAUCGCAGCGCAUUGCAACGGUGCAGCAUCACAGUGCAGCAUCACGGCACAGCAUCGCGACACACCGCAAUGGUGCGGCAUUUCAGCGCAGCAUCAUGGUGCACCGCAGCGGUGCAGCAUCACAGUGCAGCAUCGCGGCACACUGCAACAGUGCAGCAUCGCAGUGCAGCAUUGCUGCGCAGCAUCGCGACACACUGCAAUGGUGCAGCAUCACGACGCAGCAUCGCGACACACCGCAACGGUGCAGCAUCGCGGCGCAGCAUUGCGGCACACCGCAGCGGUGCAGCAUCAUGGCGCAGCAUCAUGGUGCAGCAUCGUGGUGCAGCAUCGUGGCACACUGCAAUGGUGCAGCAUCGUGGUGCAGCAUCGCGACACACCGCAAUGGGGCAGCAUCGCAGUGCAGCAUCGUGGCACACUGCAAUGGUGCAGCAUCGCGACGCAGCAUCGCAACACACCACAACGGCGCAGCAUCGCGAUGCAGCAUCGCAGCGCACUGCAAUGGUGCAGCAUCACAGCGCAGCAUCACGGCACACCGCAACGGUGCAGCACCGCGAUGCAGCAUGACGACACACCGCAACGGUGCAGCAUCACGACGCAGCAUCGCGACACACCGCAACAGUGCAGCAUCGCAGCGCAGCAUCACGACACACCGCAACGGUGCAGCAUCGCGGCACGGCAUCGCAACACACCGCAACGGUGCAGCAUCACGGCGCAGCAUCGCGACACCGCAACGGUGCAGCAUCGCAGCACAGCAUCACAGUGCACUGCAACAGUGCAGCAUCAUGAUGCAGCAUCGCGACACACCGCAACAGUGCAGCAUCACGACGCGGCAUCGCGGCACACCGCAACGGUGCAGCAUCACGAUGCAGCAUCGCGACACACCGCAACGGCGCAGCAUCACGACGCAGCAUCAUGACACACCGCAACGGCGCAGCAUCACGACGCGGCAUCGCGACACACCGCAACGGCGCAGCACCGCGGCGCGGGGACGCGUCCUCACCCUGCAGCCCCUCCUUGGC
Dromaius novaehollandiae (emu) is the source of this 3263-nucleotide long non-coding RNA. NCBI's taxonomy places the organism in Eukaryota, Metazoa, Chordata, Aves, Casuariiformes, Dromaiidae. The record is from Ensembl.